CAGUAUACCCAACUCUCAAAACAUUAGUAUUUAUUAUAGAAUUUACAUUAACCUCAUAUAGUUUUUCGUGUAUUGUUACUAAAUAGUGUAGCAAUAUAUAAACCAUAUCAACAUUCUGGAAUAAUCAAUUUACCAGGAGGAUCUCUGGAGAGCAAAAGCAGGAAAGGUUUGAGGCGCCAGUGUGGACAAAAGUCAAGCAAACGCAGUGAGACUGAAUAAGCGCGCGAGAGACCAGCCAAUCAGAUUGAAGUACCUGCCCACUUGUGAAAGUAAUGUCAGAGCCAAUCAGAUUUUUCUUUCUUUUCAUAAAGAACGGGGUUCGAAUCCCACUUAGGCACUUGGGUUUUGGCCAUUUCCUGGCUGGUUUCUAGCCAUUUCCAGCCUGGUCUUAGGUGGUCAGACUGGGAGAUGACCAGCUAAAACCAGCUUGACCAGCCUAGCCAGGCUGGGAGCCCAGCCAAAACCAGCUACGUCCAGCUUAAACCAGGCUGGUCAAGCUGGUUUUAGCUGGAUUUUGCU
This is a non-coding RNA of Danio rerio (zebrafish), 519 nucleotides long. The record is from Ensembl. Lineage: Eukaryota; Metazoa; Chordata; Actinopteri; Cypriniformes; Danionidae.